GUGAGGUCAAUGAAGGAAAUCUUGUAUAUCCACAGAUUGAUUCUAUAGAUACUAGAAUGAUGAAGAAAGUUGUCAAGGAACCUCCAGCACAAAGUAAAAAUGGAGCGGGUAAGGUCAUUGAACCCAACAGAAUACUAAACAAGGAGAUGAAGCCAAGCAGUAAGAAGAAAACAAAUGAACAAUCUGCUUCUCUGGAAAAUGCAAGGAGGGUCAAAAAGCAUCCUUGGUCUCCCACGGAGGUUGCUGCGAUAAUGAAUUAUUUUGGCGAACAUAUCAAAAAAGGAAAACUGGCCACUAUUAUCGAAUGCCAGCAAUGCAAAACUGCAGAAGAUCCUGCUCUGGCUGGUCGUUCUAUUCAAAACAUCAGAGAUUUUGUGAGGAAUCGGGGCGUGUCGUUGAAGAAAAAAGAAAAUCCUAUGUAGAGGAGUCUACAUAACUCCAAAGUACUUCUUGGAGGAGUUACAAAAGAUAUUUUGUAUGUUUUGGUUUCUCAUUUAUUUAUUUUAGAAUUUUACUAUUAGAAGAUUGGUAAAUUCAUUUUGUUGACACUGUUUUAGUGCAUCUGAUCUAAGAGGACAUAUAAUUUUAUAUUGCCAGUUAUUUUCAUUUCUGUUAACAAAACAAUCCUGUUUUUGUAAAAUGCACUCAAUUUGUUCCUUUUAUUCACCUGUUGCCCUUUUAAUACACACAAAAUACAUGUUUGUGUAUGUGUAUGGCCUUUGUCCUGUUAAUAAAGUUAGCCCUGACAAUUACUGUUCAUGUCAGGGGGAGGAGCCAAGUUACCUAAUUAGUGUUGUCCUCUUAUUACACCAUGUUGUCAGGUUCUUAUAUUUUGAGUUCUGGUGUGUUUUUCACAAUUUUGAAGUGAGAUUUGUGUUGUACAACUCAAAUGGGAUUUUUAAAGAUGCACUUCAUCUAUCUAGCACAAGCGGAAAGGGGGGUCCGUUUAGUGUUGCAAAAAUCUUGUUUGAAAAAAUUGUCCUUCCAAUUCACCUUUACCAGUAUAUGUGUGUGUGUGUGUGUGUGUGUGUGUGUGUGUGU
Long non-coding RNA from Astatotilapia calliptera (eastern happy), 1041 nucleotides. Lineage: Eukaryota; Metazoa; Chordata; Actinopteri; Cichliformes; Cichlidae. The record is from Ensembl.